Molecule: ribosomal RNA, 452 nt
Filed under: uncultured bacterium
Lineage: Bacteria
Description: bacterial SSU rRNA
Rfam family: Bacterial small subunit ribosomal RNA
Source: RNAcentral
UACGGGAGGCAGCAGUGGGGAAUAUUGCACAAUGGGCGAAAGCCUGAUGCAGCUAUGCCGCGUGUAUGAAGAAGGCCUUAGGGUUGUAAAGUACUUUCAUCGGGGAGGAAAAACAAAACUAAUAAUUUUAUUUCUUGACGUUACCCGAAAAAGAAGCACCGGCUAACUCCGUGCCAGCAGCCGCGGUAAUACGGAGGGUGCUAGCGUUAAUCAGAAUUACUGGGCGUAAAGAGCACGUAGGUGGUUUUUUUAAGUCAGAUGUGAAAUCCCUGGGCUUAACCUGGAACUGCAUUUUGAAACUGAAAUACUAGAGUAUCGUAGAGGGAGGUAGAAUUCUAGGUGUAGCGGUGAAAUGCGUAGAUAUCUGGAGGAAUACCUGUGGCGAAAGCGGCCUCUAAACGGAAUACUGACACUGAGGUGCGAAAGCGUGGGGAGCAAACAGGGAUUAGAUA